CCUACCCCUAGAGGCAUUGCAGGUAUGGCUGAUGUGUCCCAUGUGCAUCAGUAGCUGGCAGAGAAGAGGCUAUGUCUAUGCUUAGUGUUCUGGUCCACGAACAUCUGAAUUAUUAGUAUCCUAAUAUU
This is a small nucleolar RNA of Apodemus sylvaticus (European woodmouse), 128 nucleotides long. RefSeq annotates it as small nucleolar RNA SNORA17. NCBI's taxonomy places the organism in Eukaryota, Metazoa, Chordata, Mammalia, Rodentia, Muridae. The record is from RefSeq and is a predicted model, not a curated record. The transcript has a single exon.